This 382-nucleotide long non-coding RNA is filed under the name Macaca fascicularis (crab-eating macaque). RNAcentral describes it as "lncRNA (ENSMFAG00000048323.1)". Lineage: Eukaryota; Metazoa; Chordata; Mammalia; Primates; Cercopithecidae. The record is from RNAcentral.
AUGAUGGCCCCAGAAGAUCGCAGUGGGGAAGACAGACUAGAAAAGAGGUUUCUCUUCUUAGAUCUUCAUCUCAGAGGCGGCACCACCACCCGCUCUCAGCCAAGCCAGGGAUCCAGAAGCCCUUCCAGCCUUGCAGACCUGAGAGGCUUCCCCGGACUCGAUGGAGAUAUAAUCAUGGUAUCGCCAAGGAAUCGCAUUCAGGCCUGGCAGUGCUUCUAGGCGAGUAGCAUAUGUCCUCAUAAAACGACCUGUUUAUGACCAGAGUUUCUGUGCAUAUGCCGCGAACAGUCACAACCUGGAUCUCGCCUUUGGUAAGGGAAUAGGAAAUUAAACAUCUCACCACUGCUUUGCAGAACGGGAGUCGGCAUUUAAUAAGAAAGGC